Molecule: long non-coding RNA, 674 nt
Organism: Macrobrachium nipponense
Lineage: Eukaryota; Metazoa; Arthropoda; Malacostraca; Decapoda; Palaemonidae
Exons: 3
Source: RefSeq, a predicted model, not a curated record
GUUGGGAACCUCCGUGAUAGUCGGGUGAUCGCAGCUCCGCUCCGCUAUUGUGGUUCUCGCGUGGCAUUGUGUGUUCGAUUAUUUGAAACAAUUCAUAAUUAACCUUGAAAGUUUUCAGUGAUUUUGUAGUUCGUAAACAUGACAGUUAGCGUGACAGUUGAAGUUACACACAGAAAAGCCUUAGUGUGAAGAAGUACUGUAUCCAAAUUAACCAUAGGCCUACUAAGUGUUAAGCCUAGUGUCUGCCAUUACAUUACGGCAUACUGCAAGGCGAUGAUGGUGUAACACACUGAACCCAGAACAUUUGGAAGUUGGUAAUUAGUUGCAAUUAAAGCCUGAUUAGUUUCAAUUAAAGUCUGAUCCUUCUGAUUAUGUGGAUUGGCUAGUUCAUUGCGUAGGCCCAGUUAAACCAAAUAACCUUUUCCGCUUCUAAACUCUGCUUUUGCCGCUGCGAAAGCUCCUACUUCUACACAGCAACAUGUCUUCCAUCUUCAAUAAGUUCAGGAAGCAUAAGGAAGAUAAGGAUGCCUCCAAAAAAGGUUAGUGUGUCUGUAUUCGUCCGCCGGAUUAGAUAAGUACAAUCUUACGUCAGAAGUCGCAGUAAUAAUUAUUGUGUGGAACGUAUUUGUAAACCAUUGCGUUUCAUUCUCAAACAGAAGUUAGUUAUUACGUUU